This 76-nucleotide non-coding RNA is filed under the name unclassified sequences. RNAcentral's name for it is "skipping-rope RNA". It matches the Rfam family "skipping-rope RNA". From Rfam's summary of the family: Firmicutes, Fusobacteria, AlphaProteobacteria, Spirochaetes. Downstream gene The record is from Rfam by way of RNAcentral.
UAGCAAUAAGGGCGGAAUAGGUAGCCGCCACCACGUUUUUACGGUAGGAGAUGAAGAUUACCACCUUCUAUUGCUU